This 245-nucleotide ribosomal RNA is filed under the name uncultured bacterium. Its description in RNAcentral is "partial 16S ribosomal RNA". It matches the Rfam family "Bacterial small subunit ribosomal RNA", at positions 524 to 768 of the family's 1533-position model. The record is from RNAcentral.
UACGUAGGACGCGAGCGUUAUCCGGAUUUAUUGGGUUUAAAGGGUGCGUAGGCGGAGAUAUAAGUCAGCGGUGAAAGACUGUCGCUUAACGAUAGCAUUGCCGUUGAUACUGUAUUUCUUGAGUACAGUUGAGGUAGGCGGAAUGUGUAGUGUAGCGGUGAAAUGCUUAGAUAUUACACAGAACACCGAUUGCGGAGGCAGCUUACUAAGCUGUAACUGACGCUGAUGCACGAAAGCGUGGGGAU